CCUACGGGAGGCAGCAGUGGGGAAUAUUGGGCAAUGGAGGAAACUCUGACCCAGCAACGCCGCGUGAAUGAUGAAGGUCUUCGGAUUGUAAAGUUCUUUUCUAAGGGAAGAAGAAAGUGACGGUACCUUAGGAAUCAGCCUCGGCUAACUACGUGCCAGCAGCCGCGUUAAUACGUAGGAGGCGAGCGUUAUCCGGAAUGACUGGGCGUAAAGGGUGCGUAGGUGGUUUGGCAAGUUAGUAGCGUAACUCCAAGGCUCAACCUUGGAACUACUACUAAAACUGUUGGACUUGAGUGCAGGAGGGGCAGCCGGAAUUCCUAGUGUAGCGGUGGAAGGCGUAGAUAUUAGGAGGAACACCAGUGGCGAAGGCGGGUUGCUGGACUGUAACUGACACUGAGGCACGAAAGCGUGGGGAGCAAACAGGAUUAGAUACCCGGGUAGUC
RNAcentral lists this ribosomal RNA (443 nucleotides) under uncultured bacterium. Its description in RNAcentral is "partial 16S ribosomal RNA". It matches the Rfam family "Bacterial small subunit ribosomal RNA", at positions 338 to 795 of the family's 1533-position model. The record is from RNAcentral.